GCAGGCUGCAACUCGCCUGCAUGAAGUCGGAAUUGCUGUAAUCGCAGAUCAGCAUGCUGCGGUGAAUACGUUCCCGGGCCUUGUACACACCGCCCGUCACACCAUGGGAGUCGGUAACACCCGAAGUCGGUAGCCUAACCGUAAGGAGGGCGCCGCCGAAGGUGGGAUUGAUGACUGGGGUGAAGUCGUAACAAGGUAUC
RNAcentral lists this ribosomal RNA (200 nucleotides) under uncultured bacterium. Its description in RNAcentral is "partial 16S ribosomal RNA". It matches the Rfam family "Bacterial small subunit ribosomal RNA", at positions 1300 to 1500 of the family's 1533-position model. The record is from RNAcentral.